This 1051-nucleotide long non-coding RNA is filed under the name Gallus gallus (chicken). The record is from RNAcentral. Lineage: Eukaryota; Metazoa; Chordata; Aves; Galliformes; Phasianidae.
GAGAGAAACACUUGCAAGGCAUGGCAAAUCUGAUUCUAGAAAAUUGCAUUUAUAAGCAAAAGAAGUUGUAGGAACCAGCAGCGAAGCGUACAAGAUGACCCCAGACAUGAGAUAGAACAGUUCCAUUUUUGAAGUACAUUUAAAAGAAAAGUUUGCCACCAGCAACUGGAGAGCUUAUUGUUUUCAAAAGAUUAACAAACUUAUUUUCCUACAACUUGAAGAUUGAAAAUCCGAAUUGUAAAUUCUGCGGAUGCUGCAAGGAACAUGGAGUGAUCAAUCUUCAUGAUCCGUUCCGUGGCGAGCUGGGAAAAAAAAAUGCAGUUGCUAAUCAAUGUCCGAACAGUCUGAAGCUCCGGAAGAGAUCCAAGGAGUCACUAUCAAACUAUCCUGUAGCAUGAGAUCAUUGCACACAGAAGAACAGUCAUAAAAUAGGCAACUAUCUACAAAGGUCUGAAAGGGCUGCAUCCCUCUUGUGUUUCCUCUUUUUGCCAUGGAAAUACUGAUGGUGUGAUUUGCUGCCUUGAUGUUGUUUGUUUGUGACUGAGGUACCGUGGCUUGAGUUUGCUGGACCUUGGAAGCCUUUGUUAGAAGAGCGAAAUAACCGUGCAGAUCCAUGCUGUAAAAAGAAAGAGAGCCCAGUAAGUCCAUGGUAAGAAAGUGUGGCAAUUGCACAAACCUAUUUCAGGAUAACAAGGACAUCAACUCAUGAAAAUGAAUCCACAAGGGACCUGACAAGGCAGAAGCUGAGCCGCUGUUUGGGCAGCAGCAUGGAACCACAGAUCUUUCAUUUUGUCAGCUGCACACAAAUCUCAUCUCUAGAUCCAAAUCAUGCAUGUCGAGAGAGUGAAGAAUACAGCGCUCUGAAUUUUGAAAAUGAUAGAACUGGUCUAUCUCACCCACUGUGCAACCACCAAAAGUGCGUUCUACAGAAACACAAUUCCAUAAUCUAAGAAGAGAGAAGAUUGCUCAAAUCUCAUAAUCUGUGCAAAUAAAGGCAACCUUCCUUUAAGACCAAGACUAAUUUUAUAUCACAUCUUUCUGCAGAUGUACA